AAAAACGGCACCCCCGCUCUGUAAACUCAUUGCAGAAUAGUGAAACUAGCCAGACGGUAAGACAUCCUAUAGCGCACCUCAAAAGACUCCCGGCCAACAGACCGAAGAGUUAUCAGGCCAACAGAUAAUCUCAGAAUCGGUCCUAAUGGAGCUUUCUGAAGGCUCGCAAUCCUUUACGCAGAUGCUCCGUGGGCUAGAUGAUUUGGAACUGAAUUUGUCAGAGGGAUUCUCAGAAUCAAACUGCGUGCAGCGCUGAAAGCAGCCAGUCUCCGUCACACUAUUGUAUAUUCGGACAGACCCAAAAGAAGGAUCACGGGUGCUUCAUGUACUCUGAACGAGGACAUCGAUGCUAUUCUGCCUUUCUGUUCGAACGGGUUUACCCUAACACCACCCAGGAACCAAGCGACAUAUUUCCGCCCCAAACAGGGCACAACAUCGGCGCAAGUGCUUUGCGCAGAAUCCCCCAGGCCCAAAAAGUUACUUCUUCAAGAAACGGCCCUACACGGACAUGACUCCUCCCCGGCGUAUGACGGCACAGAAGACCAUACACACCGAGAACCCGCGGAGGAUUUCGGAGCGCCUGACAUUCACAAUAAAACAAUGAAACCGGAUGAUUUCAAUGUUUUAAAUGACAUUUCACAGGUAGACGACUAAAACGCAAAUACGGGCGCUAAAACCAGUUACCGAAAUGGACGUGCCUAUAAUUGAGACAGUUGAAAGCCUUUUGGCGAAAAUACCCCCGAUCUACUAGCUUUUAAUUGAACGGAUGAACGAGGGUGGGGUAUCAGACAUAAUUCCAAUAGACGAAAAUCUAUUUUCCCAAAUUCCCGCCGACCUAAUUGAAAUAAUUAAACAUAUGAACGAGUCAGGAACAACAUAUGAAAACCAAUUAUCUCAAAUCCCGCCAGCCCUAGUUUUUUUAAUAAACCAGAUGAACGAGAGUCUGAGAUCUUCUACACCUGACCCCCCAAGCAGCCCGCUAUUAAUGCCCCUUUCAGAAGAGUCUGAAACGGAAUAUGUACAGAAAUAAAUUCAGCAAUACAGAGAUUAGACAGUUUUUCAAUUUCACAUGGGUGAAUCAAAAUCUCGAUUAUGCUGUUUUUUACGUGAUGAUUUUGGAUGCUCUGAACGAACUGUUAGAGAGGGCAAGAGAUUAUGGCGAAUUUCGUGAUGUCUUACAGUUGGAAAUUUUUGGAGAUAGCAUGCAAAACACUGUAUCUCUUAUUUUACCCAAUGGUGAAGCAGAUCUUGAACAAUUUAUAGCCCUGCUGAAACGACUUGUUCAAUCAAAUUUAUCCAUCAUAGCCGAUAGGUCGCUGGAGCUUGUUGUGCAAUUAAUAAGACAAUCCCUGGGUGGUGGGGGGCAGAGAAGGAAGCUAGAUAGCCUAAUGCAAUCAGAAAUCAUAAACAAUAAAAGGGCAUGCCUCAUAAACGUUCACAAUCACGGUAAUAAGCUAUGCUUUGCAAUAGGCCUAGCACAUUUACUAAACCCUGGAUGUACGGAUCUAGAGGCGUUGCAAAAGGCUAGAGAGCUUCAAAAUGCUGUCGGUCUGGGCAUGCAGGAUGCAGUGGCAUUCUCUGACAUAGUCAAAUUUGAAAACUUUCUGAACAUCAAGAUUGUGGUUUUGUACCACAGUAGAGCUAAUGCUUCUCUCUUGAAAUUCCAAAACAACCCCCAAACUCAUCCUCAGAUCCUGUACUUUUAUGUGCAAAACGACCAUUACUAUGCAGUUACCAACAUCGGAGCGUUUUUAGGCGCACCAUAUGUGUGUCCAGCCUGUCAUACCGGCUACACCCGAAAGGGUGGCCACUCGUGCCGUUAUAACUGUUCCGUAUGUCUGGAUGAAAAAUGUCCGAUGCAGCCCUUAAACCUGACACCCUGUGCCGAUUGUCACAGGACAUGCCGUUCGGCCUACUGUUACGAAAAACACAACAUUGAAACAUGGCACCCCAAGGCCUGUAAAUCUGUAAGCAGUUGUGAUAUUAACAGGAAAUGUCCAAAAUGUCAAUGCAAUUACAACCUUAAAAUAGACAGCCCUAAACCUCAUGUGUGUGGAAUCAUUCAUUGCCCAAUCUGUAAAGGGCCUUUGAAAAGCAGAGACUCUGAAGUUGUUCAAGAUGUGCCCCACGAGUGUUAUAUUCAACCCUUGGCUGAAGAUGAACAUUCAGAGAAAUACGUUUUUUAUGAUUUUGAGACUAAUCAACAAUCAGGGGUUCAUUUGCCUAUUUUUGUAUCUACCAUGACUUUCAAGGGGGAUAAGUGGUCAGCUGAGGGACCCAAUUGUGCACUCCUCUUUCUAAAACACUUCAGAAAACCCCAGUACAGAAACUUUACGUUUAUAGCGCACAAUUCUAGAGCAUAUGAUUCGUACCUUCUUUUGAACCCUCUGAUACAGCAAGGCGUUGCACCCAGUGUCAUAGCUCAAGGUAGUAAAAUGUUGCGUUUUGUAGACCCCGCUUUCAACCAGAGAUACAUUGACAGUUUAAGCUUCUUACCAAUGAGAUUGUCUCAAAUGCCUGAGGCCUUGGGUUUUGAGAACUCUGUGAAAGGUUGGUUUCCCCAUUUUUACACUAUAUAGGAUCUUAUCCGAGACCUGAAAUGUACGGUUGUGAUCAAAUGU
This 2621-nucleotide long non-coding RNA is filed under the name Salmo salar (Atlantic salmon). Its description in RNAcentral is "lncRNA (ENSSSAG00000086550.1)". Lineage: Eukaryota; Metazoa; Chordata; Actinopteri; Salmoniformes; Salmonidae. The record is from RNAcentral.